Molecule: transfer RNA, 77 nt
Filed under: Gemmatimonadota bacterium
Lineage: Bacteria; Pseudomonadati; Gemmatimonadota
Description: Gemmatimonadetes bacterium tRNA-Arg
Rfam family: tRNA
About the family: Transfer RNA (tRNA) molecules are approximately 80 nucleotides in length. Their secondary structure includes four short double-helical elements and three loops (D, anti-codon, and T loops).
Source: RNAcentral
GCCCUCGUAGCUCAGCUGGAUAGAGCAACAGAUUCCUAAUCUGUAGGUCGUGGGUUCGAAUCCCGCCGAGGGCACCA